This 464-nucleotide ribosomal RNA is filed under the name uncultured bacterium. RNAcentral describes it as "partial 16S ribosomal RNA". It matches the Rfam family "Bacterial small subunit ribosomal RNA", at positions 338 to 795 of the family's 1533-position model. The record is from RNAcentral.
CCUACGGGGGGCUGCAGUAGGGAAUCUUCCACAAUGGGCGAAAGCCUGAUGGAGCAACGCCGCGUGGGUGAAGAAGGUCUUCGGAUCGUAAAACCCCGUUGUUAGAGAAGAAAGUGCGUGAGAGUGACUGUUCACGUUUCGACGGUAUCUAACCAGAAAGCCACGGCAAACUCCGUGCCAGCAGCCGCGGUAAGACGGGGGAUGCGAGUGUUAUCCGGAUUUAUUGGGUUAAAAGGGGGAGUAGGCGGAAUAUCAAGUCAGCGGUAAAAAUUCGGGGCUCAACCCCGGCGUGCCGUUGAAACUGAUGUUCUUGAGUGGGCAAGAAGUAUGCGGAAUGCGUGGUGUAGCGGUGAAAUGCAUAGAUAUCACGCAGAACUCCGAUUGCGAAGGCAGCAUACCGGCGCCCAACUGACGCUGAAGCACGAAAGCGUGGGUAUCGAACAGGAUUAGAUACCCCUGUAGUC